This is a small nuclear RNA of Onychomys torridus (southern grasshopper mouse), 104 nucleotides long. The record is from RefSeq and is a predicted model, not a curated record. NCBI's taxonomy places the organism in Eukaryota, Metazoa, Chordata, Mammalia, Rodentia, Cricetidae.
GUUUGCUUUGACAGGACAUAUACUAUAUUUGCAAUGACACUGAGAAGAAUAGCUUGGCCCUGUGCAAGGACAACACUUAUGCUUGUGAAGCUUUCCUUAUUUUU